Molecule: ribosomal RNA, 232 nt
Filed under: uncultured bacterium
Lineage: Bacteria
Description: partial 16S ribosomal RNA
Rfam family: Bacterial small subunit ribosomal RNA
Source: RNAcentral
CGGGGUGAGUAACGCGUGGGUAACCUGCCUCAUACAGGGGGAUAACAGUUAGAAAUGACUGCUAAUACCGCAUAAGCACACAGUACCGCAUGGUACAGUGUGAAAAACUCCGGUGGUAUGAGAUGGACCUGCGUCUGAUUAGCUAGUUGGCGGGGUAACGGCCCACCAAGGCAACGAUCAGUAGCCGACCUGAGAGGGUGACCGGCCACAUUGGGACUGAGACACGGCCCAA